This 937-nucleotide long non-coding RNA is filed under the name Ananas comosus (pineapple). RNAcentral's name for it is "long non-coding RNA (ACOM_LNC025780)". The record is from RNAcentral. Lineage: Eukaryota; Viridiplantae; Streptophyta; Magnoliopsida; Poales; Bromeliaceae.
AAUAUUACCUUGGUCUUUUGUAUGGGGCUUUUUCUUUUUUGUUUUUUUGGAGAGAUAGGUAGCACGCUACCCGCUAGGGCUGGCAAACGAGCGAGCCGGCUCGCGUUCGACUCGUGUUCGGCUCGAUAUUCGGCUCGCUCGAGCUCGACUUGAAAUUAAAUGAGCCGAGCUUGAACAAAAUAAAAGGCUCGAAAUUCAUUUCAAGCUGAGCUUGAGUAUUACUCGGCUCAUUCGAAUUAGGCUCGAAAAGCUCGAAAGCUCGAAAUAUAUAUAUAUAUAUAUAUAUUUAUAUAUAUAAUGUAUUUUAAUUAUAUAUAGGCUUUAAUUUAAUUUGGGCCAUUAUUGUUGGCCCAUAAAAUAAACCCAACAAGUACAACCGUGCAAUUGAGCCCAACUCUAAAUUUACAUAACACACUCUCUCUUUCAGACUUUCACUGUUCCACAUAACCCUAAAACAUGAUAAUAUUCAAAUUUCUAAAUCCCUAAUUUUUUUUUCUCUCUCUCUCUCUGACCCUCACCCAGUCAGGCAGUCACCCUAGCUCACAUUUCUUACAAUUAUUUUGUAUUUUGAACUAUUGAACAUGUUGUAUCAAAUUAUAGGUAAUGUUCUAUAAAAAUUAAACUAUUGAUUAUAUUAUGUCGAGAAUUUCAAUCGGCUCGUUUAGAGCUCGAGCUCGGCUCGACUCGAAAUUAGGCUCGCUCGAGUUCGGCUCGAAUUAAUUUCAAGCCGAGCUUGAACCUAGAUUUAGGCUCAAAAUUAAUUUCAAGCCGAAUUUGAGCUGACAUAAGCUCGCUCGAGCUCGGCUCGUUUCCACCCCUACUACCCGCUUCGUUUAUUAAUUUCAUUUAGAAAAUAAACUUAGCUGGAAAUAUGAAUCAACUAGGAUUCGAACUUGGGUCUCGGGUAUCAACCACCAAACCCUUUGCCACUUGCUCU